This 209-nucleotide ribosomal RNA is filed under the name uncultured Actinomycetales bacterium. RNAcentral describes it as "partial 16S ribosomal RNA". It matches the Rfam family "Bacterial small subunit ribosomal RNA", at positions 120 to 334 of the family's 1533-position model. The record is from RNAcentral. Lineage: Bacteria; Bacillati; Actinomycetota; Actinomycetes; Actinomycetales.
GGUAUCUGCCCUGCACUCUGGGAUAAGCCUGGGAAACUGGGUCUAAUACCGGAUAGGACCAUGCUUUAGUGUGUGUGGUGGAAAGUUUUUCGGUGUAGGAUGAGCCCGCGGCCUAUCAGCUUGUUGGUGGGGUAAUGGCCUACCAAGGCGGCGACGGGUAGCCGGACUGAGAGGUUGGUCGGCCACAUUGGGACUGAGAUACGGCCCAG